Oncorhynchus tshawytscha (Chinook salmon) is the source of this 628-nucleotide long non-coding RNA. NCBI's taxonomy places the organism in Eukaryota, Metazoa, Chordata, Actinopteri, Salmoniformes, Salmonidae. The record is from Ensembl.
AAUAAAUGGACAUUUCUGGACUAUAACGACAGAAUCAAUCGAAACAAAAGGACCAUUUGUGAUGUUUGUGGGACAUUUUGGAGUGCCAACAGAAGAAGCUCAUCAAAGUUCCCUGUGGGUAGAUGGUCAGCCUGUGACAUCUACUGGCAUGGAGUGUCCUUCCAUGACAACGAUAACAUCCUCUCUGGACAGGUCAACAAGUUCCCAGGUAUGAUAGAGAUGCUGAGAAAGAUCAACCUGAGCCGAGCGGUGAGGACCAUGCAGGAGCUGUUCCCUGAGGAGUACAAAUUCUACCCCCGCUCCUGGAUCCUACCUAGGGAGUACCACCGCUCCUGAAUCCUACCUGAGGAGUACAACUUCUACCACCGCUCCUGAAUCCUACCUGAGGAGUACAACUUCUACCCCCGCUCCUGGAUCCUACCUGAGGAGUACCACCGCUCCUGAAUCCUACCUGAGGAGUACAAUUUCUACCACCGCUCCUGGAUCCUACCUGAGGAGUACAACUUAUACCCCCGCUCCUGGAUCCUACCUGGGGAGUACCACCGCUCCUGGAUCCUACCUGAGGAGUACCACCGCUCCUGGAUCCUACCUGAGGAGUACAACUUCUACCACCGCUCCUGGAGCCUAC